AACACAUGCAAGUCGAGGGGCAGCAUGACCUAGCAAUAGGUGAUGGCGACCGGCGCACGGGUGAGUAACACGUAUCCAACCUACCGGUUAUUCCGGGAUAGCCUUUCGAAAGAAAGAUUAAUACCGGAUAGUAUAGCGAGAAGGCAUCUUCUUGUUAUUAAAGAAUUUCGAUAACCGAUGGGGAUGCGUUCCAUUAGUUUGUUGGCGGGGUAACGGCCCACCAAGACAUCGAUGGAUAGGGGUUCUGAGAGGAAGGUCCCCCCACAUUGGAACUGAGACACGGUCCAAACUCCUACGGGAGGCAGCAGUGAGGAAUAUUGGUCAAUGGACGAGAGUCUGAACCAGCCAAGUAGCGUGAAGGAUGACUGCCCUAUGGGUUGUAAACUUCUUUUAUAUGGGAAUAAAGUGAGCCACGUGUGGCUUUUUGUAUGUACCAUACGAAUAAGGAUCGGCUAACUCCGUGCCAGCAGCGGC
RNAcentral lists this ribosomal RNA (474 nucleotides) under uncultured bacterium. Its description in RNAcentral is "bacterial SSU rRNA". It matches the Rfam family "Bacterial small subunit ribosomal RNA", at positions 50 to 518 of the family's 1533-position model. The record is from RNAcentral.